UACGGAGGAUCUAAGCGUUAUCCGGAUUUAUUGGGUUUAAAGGGUGCGUAGGCGGAUUGAUAAGUUAGAGGUGAAAUGUCCGAGCUCAACUCGGGAACUGCCUCUAAUACUGUUGAUCUAGAGAGUAGAUGCGGUAGGCGGAAUGUAUGGUGUAGCGGUGAAAUGCUUAGAGAUCAUACAGAACACCGAUUGCGAAGGCAGCUUACCAAUCUAUAUCUGACGUUGAGGCACGAAAGCGUGGGGAGCAAACAGG
Molecule: ribosomal RNA, 253 nt
Filed under: uncultured bacterium
Lineage: Bacteria
Description: partial 16S ribosomal RNA
Rfam family: Bacterial small subunit ribosomal RNA
Source: RNAcentral